This is a long non-coding RNA of Nannospalax galili (Upper Galilee mountains blind mole rat), 263 nucleotides long. RefSeq lists it as uncharacterized. NCBI's taxonomy places the organism in Eukaryota, Metazoa, Chordata, Mammalia, Rodentia, Spalacidae. The record is from RefSeq and is a predicted model, not a curated record. The transcript is spliced from 3 exons.
GUGGUGAGCUGCUCACUUGUAUUCCAGGCCAAGAGCUGCAGGCUGAUGGGUGAACCUCCUUCCCACCUCUCCUGAAGGAUGGGGAGUGACUGCUAAAGUGUUGGAGAUUAGGAUGACCUGCCUUUGAACGAGUGGAACCUGGAGAUCAACCAUAACCUCUGCUUAUGGAUCCUGUUUGGUGCCAUGCAAGAUGCUGCCCCUACAAGCUUCCACCAUCAUGAACAAGAGCCUGUCUCCUUCACCGUGCUUUCCUGCCAUCAUGG